GGGGCUGUAGCUCAGUUGGGAGAGCGCUUGAAUGGCAUUCAAGAGGUCAGGGGUUCGAAUCCCCUCAGCUCCACCU
Molecule: transfer RNA, 76 nt
Filed under: Caldilineae bacterium
Lineage: Bacteria; Bacillati; Chloroflexota; Caldilineae
Description: tRNA-Ala
Rfam family: tRNA
About the family: Transfer RNA (tRNA) molecules are approximately 80 nucleotides in length.
Source: RNAcentral